UACGUAGGAUGCAAGCGUUGUCCGGAUUUACUGGGCGUAAAGCGCGCGCAGGCGGCAGUACAAGUACCCUCUGAAAUCUCCUUGCUCAACGAGGAGGGUGGAGGGUAGACUGUGCAGCUAGAGGAGGGUAGAGGGGGGUAGAAUUGCUGGUGUAGCGGUGAAAUGCGUAGAUAUUGGGAAGAACACCGGUGGCGAAAGCGCCUUGCUGGGGCUGCACUGACACUGAGGGACGAAAGCUAGGGGAGCGAAAGGG
Molecule: ribosomal RNA, 253 nt
Filed under: uncultured bacterium
Lineage: Bacteria
Description: partial 16S ribosomal RNA
Rfam family: Bacterial small subunit ribosomal RNA
Source: RNAcentral